AUGCAAUCCCUUUGUUCCCUGUUCACAAAACUUUGGUGGCUUGAGUGAGUGAAACACCUUGCAAUGUAACAGUACAUGCUCUUCCUGCACACUGUCCUUUUUGAUCUUCCGUCCUUGCAGACUCAAGAAAUUUUAUGUUGAGGUCCAGGGGCCUGAGAAGGAUUUAGAAUUGGAUGAGGCAACACCAGGAUGCUGGAGGGGUCUCUCCAUGUGACUGAGGAAGUGGCUGCACUUCCAGCCCAUCAAAACAUGUAGGCUGCGUAAAAAGCGGUCGUCAAAAAAGUAAAGGAUAAAGUGCAGUCACGUUCUAGAACAUGUUUAAUUUUCAGAUACAGAUCUACAAAGAUCCUACACAGUUUCCUUUCCAGGGAAACAAAUAAAAACAACAGCAGGGUAUCUCCAAGCGACUGAGGAAGUGGUUGCGCUUCAAGCCCAUCAAAACAUGGAGGCAGCGUAAUAAGCUGUCCUCAUCAAAGUAAAGGAUAAAGUGCAGUCAUGUUCUGAAAAAAAUUAGAUUUUCAGAUGCAGGUCUACACAGAUUCAUCACAUUUUCCUUUACAAGGAAACAAAUACAGAAUUAGAGCAUUAAAAUUAAUAACUUGUUUUAUUGAUUAUCGUCUAAGAAGUUCAACCACAUCAGGUUUUGCAGCAGCACUGCUAAUAGGGGAGACCGGGCCGGUUUUAUCACUGAUUACCCAAGUGCUUAUUUCUCAGGGUGGGGUUAUUUUUGAAACUCAAUGUAUGGACAUGAAGUCUUGACUAUAGAAAAGGCUAUUGAACAUUUCCAUUGUUAUUGCUCAGGAAAAAGGUACAGUUCACUUAACACGCACUGACAACAACAAGUCAUAACAAGUGAUAUUCAUCUGGACAGGCAGGCAAAAAAUGGACUACUAUAGCACAGAUCAGAAUUUACCCUCCUACAUGUAAACAUGCUUUAAGCAAGUAAUCACUGUAAUGUGUCUAUCAAAGGGUAUUUUGUUCAAAUAGACAGGGUCUAGAGACUGUUGAAUUAUUUUACAUGAAGCUUAUAUGCCUUUCAAGUUCAACUAGCUUACUGGUAGUUGAUAAUUAUGCUUAACUAAUA
Xyrauchen texanus (razorback sucker) is the source of this 1084-nucleotide long non-coding RNA. RefSeq lists it as uncharacterized. Lineage: Eukaryota; Metazoa; Chordata; Actinopteri; Cypriniformes; Catostomidae. The record is from RefSeq and is a predicted model, not a curated record. The transcript is spliced from 3 exons.